CCUACGGGUGGCAUCAGUGAGGAAUAUUGGUCAAUGGACGAGAGUCUGAACCAGCCAAGUAGCGUGAAGGAUGACUGCCCUAUGGGUUGUAAACUUCUUUUAUAUGGGAAUAAAAUGUCCCACGUGUGGGAGUUUGUAUGUACCCUAUGAAUAAGGACCGGCUAACUCCUUGCCAGCAGCCGCGGUAAUACGGAGGAUCCGAGCGUUAUCCGGAUUUAUUGGGUUUAAAGGGAGCGUAGGUGGCGUGUUAAGUCAGUUGUGAAAGUUGGCGGCUCAACCGGGACAUUGCAGUUGAAACUGGCGGUCUUGAGUACAGUAGAGGUGGGCGGAAUGCGUGGUGUAGCGGUGAAAUGCUUAGAUAUCACGAAGAACACCGAUUGCGAAGGCAGUUCACUGAACGGCAACUGACGCUGAGGCUCGAAAGUGUGGGUAUCGAACAGGAUUAGAUACCCGUGUAGUC
RNAcentral lists this ribosomal RNA (460 nucleotides) under uncultured bacterium. Its description in RNAcentral is "partial 16S ribosomal RNA". It matches the Rfam family "Bacterial small subunit ribosomal RNA", at positions 338 to 795 of the family's 1533-position model. The record is from RNAcentral.